This 634-nucleotide long non-coding RNA is filed under the name Triticum aestivum (bread wheat). Its description in RNAcentral is "long non-coding RNA (TAES_LNC007092)". Lineage: Eukaryota; Viridiplantae; Streptophyta; Magnoliopsida; Poales; Poaceae. The record is from RNAcentral.
AUCAUGCAAAUUAAUUUCUUUUGUUCAUAAGAUGGUAAUACCUACUGGAGGUGGAGCGGUCACUAAAAGGAGUCAAUUCGACAAUCAAGGUGAUCGACGGAGAUUGGUUGCCAACCUUGGACACAAAAAAGUUUUUACUAAACAGAAGUAUAGCAAGGAACCGAUUUCGGUCAUAUUAAUCAAUCUAGAUGUAUAGAUUAGUGUUUUUUUAUUUUAGCAUAAUCUACCAAUCAAGUAUACUUGAUCCAUCACCCAGUGAUCACUUCAUCAGUUUGACAUCCAAUGGAUAGUACUCCCUCUGUACAUAAAUAUAAAUAUAAGAGCGUUUACAUAAUCACUUCAGUGAUCUAAGUGCUCUUAUAUUUAUUUACGGAAGGAGUUCAAAUUAAUCAAAUUUGUGCAGAAGAUGAUACCUACUGGAGUUGCUGUUGUUUUUGGGUGGAGUUGAAUUGGACAAUCGAGGAGAUCCUAUAGCGUGGCGAUGUUCAAGGGUGGCCGAUAUGAAGGUGAAGCCAAUCUGGAAGCACUUACAAGUAGAACGGAAUUGGAGAUUGAGAUUGGUUUUUGAGUUGUGCGAGAUGUAAUUAUGCAAGGAUAAGUGUGUUCAUCCAACCGAAUAUCAAGUGUCUCCGAU